Molecule: ribosomal RNA, 207 nt
Filed under: uncultured bacterium
Lineage: Bacteria
Description: partial 16S ribosomal RNA
Rfam family: Bacterial small subunit ribosomal RNA
Source: RNAcentral
GUCUCAGUCGGAUUGGAGUCUGCAACUCGACUCCAUGAAGCUGGAUUCGCUAGUAAUCGCGCAUCAGCCAUGGCGCGGUGAAUACGUUCCCGGGCCUUGUACACACCGCCCGUCAAGCCAUGGAAGCCGGGGGUGCCUGAAGUGCGUGACCGCAAGGAGCGCCCUAAGGUAAAACCGGUGACUGGGGCUAAGUCGUAACAAGGUACC